CACAGCGAGAUCUCGCUUACUGGGCUGUCUCGCUUAGGGAGUGGUCAUUAUUUAUGGGGGGGACUAGCUAACAGUCGUGGGUUGUGGGUCGUGGGUAGAAUGUCGUGGGUCGUGGGUAGAAUGUCGUGGGUCGUGGGUAAAAAGGCGUGGGUCGUGGGUAAAAAGUCGUAAGUCGUGGGUAAAAAGGCGUGGGUCGUGGGUAAAAAGGCGUGGGUCGUGGGUAAAACGGCGUGGGUCGUCGGUAAAAAGGCGUGGGUCGUGG
This is a non-coding RNA of Paramuricea clavata, 262 nucleotides long. The record is from the annotation of a GenBank genome assembly. Lineage: Eukaryota; Metazoa; Cnidaria; Anthozoa; Malacalcyonacea; Plexauridae.